This 482-nucleotide ribosomal RNA is filed under the name uncultured bacterium. RNAcentral's name for it is "partial 16S ribosomal RNA". It matches the Rfam family "Bacterial small subunit ribosomal RNA", at positions 30 to 507 of the family's 1533-position model. The record is from RNAcentral.
AUUGAACGCUGGCAGCAUGCUUUACACAUGCAAGUCGAACGGUAACAGGCCGCAAGGUGCUGACGAGUGGCGAACGGGUGAGUAAUGCAUCGGAACGUGCCCAGUCGUGAGGGAUAACUACUCGAAAGAGUAGCUAAUACCGCAUACGAUCUAUGGAUGAAAGCGGGGGACCGUAAGGCCUCGCGCGAUUGGAGCGGCCGAUGUCAGAUUAGGUAGUUGGUGGGGUAAAGGCUCACCAAGCCAACGAUCUGUAGCUGGUCUGAGAGGACGACCAGCCACACUGGGACUGAGACACGGCCCAGACUCCUACGGGAGGCAGCAGUGGGGAAUUUUGGACAAUGGGCGCAAGCCUGAUCCAGCAAUGCCGCGUGCAGGAAGAAGGCCUUCGGGUUGUAAACUGCUUUUGUACGGAACGAAACGGCUCUGGUUAAUACCCGGGGCUAAUGACGGUACCGUAAGAAUAAGCACCGGCUAACUACGUG